UAGUCCACGCCGUAAACGAUGAUGACUAGCUGUUCGGGUUCACAGAACUUGAGUGGCGCAGCUAACGCAUUAAGUUAUCCGCCUGGGGAGUACGGUCGCAAGAUUAAAACUCAAAGGAAUUGACGGGGGCCUGCACAAGCGGUGGAGCAUGUGGUUUAAUUCGAAGCAACGCGCAGAACCUUACCAGCUUUUGACAUCCUGGUCGCGGAUAGAGGAGACUCUUUCCUUCAGUUCGGCUGGACCAGUGACAGGUGCUGCAUGGCUGUCGUCAGCUCGUGUCGUGAGAUGGUGGGUUAAGUCCCGCAACGAGCGCAACCCUCAUCCUUAGUUGCUACCAUUUAGUUGGGCACUUUAAGGAAACUGCCGGUGAUAAGCCGGAGGAAGGUAAGGAUGACGUCAAGUCAGCAUGCCCCUUACGCUCUGGGCUACACACGUGCUACAAUGGUCGUGACAAAGAGUUGCUAGUCUGCGAAGGCAAGCCAAUCUCAUAAACGCGG
RNAcentral lists this ribosomal RNA (497 nucleotides) under uncultured bacterium. RNAcentral's name for it is "bacterial SSU rRNA". It matches the Rfam family "Bacterial small subunit ribosomal RNA", at positions 791 to 1285 of the family's 1533-position model. The record is from RNAcentral.